CCUACGGGUGGCAGCAGUGAGGAAUAUUGGACAAUGGACGAGAGCCUGAACCAGCCAAGUAGCGUGAAGGAUGAUUGCCCUAUGGGUUGUAAACUUCAUUUAUAUGGGAAUAAAAUGUUCCACGUGUGGGAUUUUGUAUGUACCAUAUGACUAAGGAUCGGCUAACUCCGUGCCAGCAGCCGCGGUAAUACGGAGGAUCGGAGCGUUAUCCGGAUUUAUUGGGUUUAAAGGGAGCGUAGGUGGAUUGUUAGGUCAGUUGUGAAAGUUUGAGGCUCAACCGUAAAAUUGCAGUUGAAAAUGGGAGUCUUGAGUACAGUAGAGGCAGGCGGAAUUCGUGGUGUAGCGGUGAAAUGCUUAGAUAUCACGAGGAACUCCGAUUGCGAAGGCAGUUCACUGGACUGCAACUGACACUGAGGCUCGAAAGUGUGGGUAUCAAACAGGAUUAGAUACCCCUGUAGUC
Molecule: ribosomal RNA, 460 nt
Filed under: uncultured bacterium
Lineage: Bacteria
Description: partial 16S ribosomal RNA
Rfam family: Bacterial small subunit ribosomal RNA
Source: RNAcentral